GAUGAACGCUGGCGGCGUGCCUAAUACAUGCAAGUCGAGCGAACAGACGAGGAGCUUGCUCCUCUGACGUUAGCGGCGGACGGGUGAGUAACACGUGGAUAACCUACCUAUAAGACUGGGAUAACUUCGGGAAACCGGAGCUAAUACCGGAUAAUAUAUUGAACCGCAUGGUGCAAUAGUGAAAGACGGUUUUGCUGUCACUUAUAGAUGGAUCCGCGCCGCAUUAGCUAGUUGGUAAGGUAACGGCUUACCAAGGCAACGAUGCGUAGCCGACCUGAGAGGGUGAUCGGCCACACUGGAACUGAGACACGGUCCAGACUCCUACGGGAGGCAGCAGUAGGGACUCUUCCGCAAUGGGCGAAAGCCUGACGGAGCAACGCCGCGUGAGUGAUGAAGGUCUUCGGAUCGUAAAACUCUGUUAUUAGGGAAGAACAAAUGUGUAAGUAACUAUGCACGUCUUGACGGUACCUAAUCAGAAAGCCACGGCUAACUACGUG
This 497-nucleotide ribosomal RNA is filed under the name uncultured bacterium. Its description in RNAcentral is "partial 16S ribosomal RNA". It matches the Rfam family "Bacterial small subunit ribosomal RNA", at positions 28 to 507 of the family's 1533-position model. The record is from RNAcentral.